GUACACGCUGUGACUAGCAUAUCAAUAAGCGGAGGAAAAGAAACUAACAAGGAUUCCCCUAGUAACGGCGAGUGAAGCGGGAAGAGCUCAAAUUUGAAAUCUUAAAGGGUUUCCCUUUACGAAUUGUAGUUUAAAGAAGUGUUUUCUGUUGAGGUUUUCGGUAAAAGUUCUUUGGAAUAGGACAUCAUAGAGGGUGAGAAUCCCGUAUUUGACCUUUACUUUCAACUUUGUGAUACACUUUCAAAGAGUCGGAUUGUUUGGGAAUGCAGUCCAAAAUGGGCUGGUAAAUUUCAUCUAAAGCUAAAUAUUGGCGAGAGACCGAUAGCGAACAAGUACCGUGAGGGAAAGAUGAAAAGAACUUUGAAAAGAGAGUUAAACAGUACGUGAAAUUGUCAAAAGGGAAGCGUUUGACACCAGUGUUGUUUUUCUGAAAAUCAAUUAAAGAACUGUUUAUGCUAAGCUGUUUAGACUUUAUCAGCUAUCUGUUUAGUUUUGAGCUUUUCUUUAAUGCACUUUUCAGUUAACAAGUCAACAUCAAUUUCUUUUGCAGUAAAAAAGCUUGAGGAAGGUGGCUUGAGAUUCGUCUUAAGUGUUUAUAGCCUCUUGCCUAUGCAGUCGGAGAGAUUGAGGUCUGCAGCGUAGAUCCUUCGGGGCUAAAUGCAUUUGUGCUAAGUUAUAGCAUUUUAUAGACAACUUGUUGACUAUGAUUUGUCUUGUAGCUUACUCGCUUAUGUUAUUUUACCUACGCUUAGGAUGUUGAAGAUGUAGCACAUCAU
Molecule: ribosomal RNA, 776 nt
Filed under: uncultured Neocallimastigales
Lineage: Eukaryota; Fungi; Neocallimastigomycota; Neocallimastigomycetes; Neocallimastigales
Description: partial large subunit ribosomal RNA
Rfam family: Eukaryotic large subunit ribosomal RNA
Source: RNAcentral